UUCUUCUUGGCCUCAUUCGCGACAUUCACGCUUCUUCUUCGCGGCAUUCACCAACGCCAGAGCAGCUUCUACUUCAACAAAAGAGCAGCUUCUUCUCCAUCUUUUCUUCCGUUUCGUCGCCAUUCACCACCACCAAGGGUCCGUGCUUUCUUGUGUUUUCAACGGGUUCCGGAGCUCUCCCCAAGUAAUGCUGGAGUUCUACAAGAGGAUUGGUGGAGCAAAAAGUGUCUUGAAUUUGCUUGAAAGUUGUGUUGUGAUUCAUGUGAUGGUGUGUUGUAGACAUUUUAAUGAUGCUUUGUGGUUGAUGAAAGAGUUGAUGAUAAGGAAGGGAUUUUGCCUUUGGAGAUUUUGGGAGGGCUUAUUGAUAGUUAUGAUGUAGGUUGUGGGACUAAUGCUGUAUUUUUCACAUUGGUUAUGAGGUCAUAUGGUUUCGGUUCAUGCACUGAAUAAUUUUUUGAAUCAUCUGAUAAAGUUAGAUGAGGUUGGUUGCUUUUGGCUGGUGUAUAGGGAAAUGGUUUCUUAUGGGCAUAUGGAGAAUGUGUAUACUUAUAAUAUUGUUAUUUAUGCCCUUUGUAAAGAAUGUAAAUUGUUUGAGGCAAUUUAUGUGUUUUACUGGAAGGUAAAGAGUGGAAUAGUGCCAAAUGUUGUUUCCUUCAA
Molecule: long non-coding RNA, 657 nt
Organism: Ipomoea triloba (trilobed morning glory)
Lineage: Eukaryota; Viridiplantae; Streptophyta; Magnoliopsida; Solanales; Convolvulaceae
Exons: 2
Source: RefSeq, a predicted model, not a curated record